Mastomys coucha (southern multimammate mouse) is the source of this 528-nucleotide long non-coding RNA. RefSeq lists it as uncharacterized. Lineage: Eukaryota; Metazoa; Chordata; Mammalia; Rodentia; Muridae. The transcript is spliced from 2 exons. The record is from RefSeq and is a predicted model, not a curated record.
GCCUCUCCUCCCUGAGUCUGCCUGGCUCCCAAGGCCAGAGUUAAUGACUGGGCACUGAAAGCCCACGCAGCUUUCUGGGCAGAGAUGAAAGACAGAGAGUGUGCGGGCCAUCGAGCAGAGGGUCCAGUUACCUACUAGCAUGGCUUCCUCCCAGUCAAUGGAAGCAUGGAUCAUGAACUUCCACAUGGCUUCUGGUGACUGCACAGACCAUGGAAAUCCACAUGGCCUUCAGCAUCAGCACAUGCCGAGGACCUCAGCAUGGUCUCCAGUGGGAGAAUAGACCACCAGCAUAAUACAGCCUUCUGUGACAGCAUGGACUACAGAUACUAUCAUGACCCUUGGCAGCAGCACAGGGCACAGACAUCAAUGUGAACUCUGUGGCAUGCGCCACAGGCACCAAUAUGAUCCCCAGCAUCAGUCCAGCCUGUGGACAUCAGCUUGACUUCAGGGGUCAGCACAGACCCUGGACAUCCCCAUGACCUUUGAUGGCAACACAGAUGACAGACAUCAACAUGCCUUUCUGUGGGA